AGGUGAAGCAGCUUUUCGUUUCAUUCCGUUCCCAUAUAUGGGGCACUACACUCUUUUUAUUCCAAUAAAAAGAUCAAUUGGUAUAGAAUGAAAAAAUAAAAGUUCUCCCUGUAUAAUCCAGCAGUUAUUUUUUAACAAGUGUAUAAAGUUGGCAAUAGUCCCAUCCUCGCGUAAUAAUUUUUUAAAGGUGAGAGAUGCGGCUUCGCGUCACGUGCUUGCCGCUAGACCAAUGAGAUGGCAUAACGUCGGAACGACAUGUAAACAUGGUCCAAGAUGGCAGCGCCCUUGUCGUCACUAUCGAGAAGCGAAGAGGAUAAAAUUAUUGUCAGACCUCCACCAAAAGUCAGUAAAAGGGUUUAUAAACAAUGCUAUAUGCAUCUCACGUCCAUAAAAAAAGAAGAAGCGAAGGAUUUUACACGCACACGGUGGGAUACAUUUAGAAACUGCAUCAAACGGUGGCUUGACUUGCAGGGUGAGAGUCAGAAAAUAGCAGAAACAUAUAAACAUUGUCUAGAAAUCGAGUUUGACCGUGUGCCCGAAGACGCAGGGUUUCACUCCAUUUGCUACCGGCGUUUUAUUGACAAAAAGCGCUUGGAUGCGGCCGAGAAACGAGUUUCACGGCGUCCUGAAGCUGGUGAUGAUCAUAACACAGACCAGUCUGUGUCAUCGGGAAAUAGUAUUUCGUCAACGUAUUGCCCAACAAAAAAACUUAGGUCCAGUACCGGACUGCUGAUAGCUUGUUCGGGUCCUGUACUUCCUGCUUUGUGCAUAAUUUGCAAGAAAACGGACAAGUACAUCACUGUGGCAGGCAAACGCCAGAAGGACAAUCUUUCACAAGCGGAGACGCUGUCGGCAGGUAUAAAGCACACAAGCACACGUUUGAACUUAAAGUUAUAUGCCAUAUGCUGAGAACCAUAACUAACUUUCAAAUACAUCAAUAUUUACAUUACAUGUACAUUAUAAUGUUUAUAGUGCAGUCAGUUUUUGCAUACACAUAUGCAUGAACAGUCAGAACUGUUAUGUUUUUUUAAAUACAUAUUUAUUACAGGCCAGUUGCUCAAAGCAGCUGAGAUGAAGGAAGACACUAGCAUUCUUGUGCAUAUUAAAGACAAAGACUGUGUCUCUGGAAGUAUGAUAUCACAAGUCCUGUUACAGACAGUACACCAGGUUCUUGACAAAGUCUACUGGAACAAAUACACAGACCUCAGAAGAACACAAUGAGCCAACCUAUGAUGUCAGCUACAAGAUCUUCUCUGAGAGAAUCAUCUGCCAUCGAAUAAUUGUAAACCAAGAGGUGAUGACAAUGACACAGCUAAGAAAAAUGUUUUUAAAUCUUGUAAAAAGCCAUGAAGAUCUUGAUGCUUCAAACUACAGGUAAUUUAAAUACCCUAAGUUUAUUUUGCAGAUUUGGAAUAAACAUUUACGCAAACUUUUUCUCAGAAAAAUUUAAUAAAUAAUAAUAUUCAUAUUAUUAUUAUUAUCAUAUUAAAUAUUCAUAUAAUAUUCUGUUUAGUUGACAGAGUACCAGUAAAUGGAGCUAUACUUUUUGAUGGCAUGGCAGUCAUUCAAGCCAUUCAGUCCAUACCAAGUACCUUCGGGGAGCUUGCUGACACUAUUCUACAGUACUUAGUCAAGCUUGCUCUCAAGCACAACUGUACACGGAUAGAUUUUGUGAUAGACAAGUAUCCAGAAAUUAGUAUUAAAAAUGUAGAAUGAUCACGCAGAGCUGUUGGUGGCACACAACAGGUAAAAAUUUAUGGACGGGAUCAAAAGACACCAACACAAUGGAAGAAGUUUCUGUCGGAUGGGACAAACAAAGAAGCACUGGCAGAAUUCCUCUAUGUAAUGUGGCGAGACGCUGAUCUUACCAUUUUAGGAAACAGAGGAAAGAGCUACAUGUGAAGAUGGUUCUGAUGAAAGUGAUAAGGAUAGUAGUGAUGAGUAAAGGUGAUCUGUGUCACAGGUUACUUGGAUUUGAGCUGUAAUGAAGCUGCUGUAAAUGUUUAAUAUUUGUCGUUAUUGAAAAAUUAGUGCAGCAGUCCAGCAUUUCAAGUCAUUUUAGCCAACUUGGACCAAAAACUGUUUUUAUCUUUAAUUUUGUGUGAUUCCUAAGUGCCUACUGAACAUUUUGAUACAUACAACAUAACAAAAAUGUUUAAGUUUCAAUUUGUUCUUCAGUUUUAUUUGGUGCGAAUAGGUGAAGUUGAAGUGCGUUAUAAAAAAAAAAUUAAUUAUUUCAUGGUCUUCCUUCAAAAUUGAGUUGAUUAAUGCACCAAUACUUGUCUCAGAUAUGUAGCUACAUGUAUAAAUGUGGAUUUGACAUAUAUUUUGUUUUGAUUAAAUGCGUAUUAAUAAAGUUACAGGCCAAACUAGCAGCAUGAGAUUUUCGUUUUUUGUAAAUUCCUAAUUAUACACAUUUUUGCAUCCUGACAAAAAACUGCAGUAUUUUUUGUGGAGAACUUUUAACAUAGAAGCCAUAAGACUGUUGUCUAUCCAGAAAUUCAUUAAAAAAGUAGUGCCCAGACGUGGGAACGAAAAGUGAUUUCUAGCCACUUUUUAUAUGUUCACCUUAU
This is a long non-coding RNA of Brienomyrus brachyistius, 2573 nucleotides long. RefSeq lists it as uncharacterized. The record is from RefSeq and is a predicted model, not a curated record. NCBI's taxonomy places the organism in Eukaryota, Metazoa, Chordata, Actinopteri, Osteoglossiformes, Mormyridae. The transcript has 3 exons.